This 207-nucleotide ribosomal RNA is filed under the name uncultured bacterium. RNAcentral's name for it is "partial 16S ribosomal RNA". It matches the Rfam family "Bacterial small subunit ribosomal RNA", at positions 568 to 774 of the family's 1533-position model. The record is from RNAcentral.
CACGUAGGCGGUCUUGCAAGUUGGAUGUGAAAGACCCUGGCUCAACCAGGGAAGUGCAUCCAAAACUGCAGGGCUAGGGGCCGAGAGGGGUGAGCGGAACUCCAGGUGGAGCGGUGAAAUGCGUAGAUAUCUGGAGGAACACCGGUGGCGAAAGCGGCUCACUGGUUCGGUUCUGACGCUGAGGUGCGAAAGCCAGGGGAGCGAACG